AUGGCCGAGCGUCUCGCCGCAGCCGCCACCCUCCGCGCCGACGCUCCGUCCGGCCCCUCGCCGGCCGGCCGCCGCGCCAGGCCAUCCAGCUCUGCCUUCUUCCCCUCCUCGUCCUCCCCGGCUCUCCGCCUCGUCAGCCUCCGCGCCGCGUCCUCUCGGCCCUCCCAGAAGGCCAAGUCGGCGGGGAGGGGGCGAUCGGUGAGGUGCAUGGCGGCGGCGUCGGACGCGGCACAGCUGAAGGCCGCGCGCGAGGACAUCAGGGAGCUGCUCAACACAACCCACUGCCACCCCAUCCUGGUUCGUUUGGGUUGGCAUGAUUCUGGCACAUAUGACAAAAAUAUUAAGGACUGGCCAGAACGAGGUGGAGCUAAUGGAAGUUUAAGAUUUGAUGUUGAACUAAAGCAUGGAGCCAAUGCCGGUUUGGUAAAUGCUCUAAAGCUUGUGCAACCGAUCAAGGACAAAUACCCCAGUAUAACUUAUGCGGAUUUAUUCCAGUUGGCAAGUGCUACAGCAAUUGAGGAAGCUGGUGGCCCAAAGAUUCCAAUGAAAUAUGGACGGGUUGAUGUCACAGGACCUGAGCAGUGUCCACCUGAAGGGAAGCUUCCUGAUGCUGGCCCGAGUGCUCCUGCUGACCACUUGAGGCUGGUAUUCUACAGAAUGGGCCUUGAUGACAAGGAAAUCGUUGCUUUGUCUGGGGCACAUACACUUGGAAGGUCUAGGCCUGAACGGAGUGGCUGGGGGAAACCUGAAACAAAAUAUACUAAAAAUGGUCCUGGUGCACCUGGUGGACAAUCAUGGACAGCUGAGUGGCUGAAGUUUGAUAACAGUUACUUCAAGGAGAUAAAAGAGAAAGGAGAUCAGGAUCUUCUUGUGCUGCCUACAGAUGCUGCAUUAUUUGAGGACCCAACAUUCAAGGUCUAUGCAGAGAAAUAUGCAGCAGACGAAGAAGCAUUCUUUAAAGACUAUGCGGAGGCUCAUGCUAAACUGAGCAGCCUGGGUGCAAAGUUUGAUCCUGCCGAGGGAUUCUCAUUGGAUGAUUAG
RNAcentral lists this ribosomal RNA (1041 nucleotides) under Triticum aestivum (bread wheat). RNAcentral describes it as "partial small subunit ribosomal RNA". The record is from RNAcentral. Lineage: Eukaryota; Viridiplantae; Streptophyta; Magnoliopsida; Poales; Poaceae.